RNAcentral lists this ribosomal RNA (276 nucleotides) under uncultured soil bacterium. Its description in RNAcentral is "partial 16S ribosomal RNA". It matches the Rfam family "Bacterial small subunit ribosomal RNA", at positions 26 to 302 of the family's 1533-position model. The record is from RNAcentral.
AGAUUGAACGCUGGCGGCAGGCCUAACACAUGCAAGUCGAGCGGCAGCACGGGUACUUGUACCUGGUGGCGAGCGGCGGACGGGUGAGUAAUGCCUAGGAAUCUGCCUGGUAGUGGGGGAUAACGCUCGGAAACGGACGCUAAUACCGCAUACGUCUUACGGGAGAAAGCAGGGGACCUUCGGGCCUUGCGCUAUCAGAUGAGCCUAGGUCGGAUUAGCUAGUUGGUGAGGUAAUGGCUCACCAAGGCGACGAUCCGUAACUGGUCUGAGAGGAUG